CCCGCGCUCCUCCGGGCAGAGCGCGUGUGGCGGCCGAGCACAUGGGCCCGCGGGCCGGGCGGGCUCGGGGCGGCCGGGACGAGGAGGGGCGACGACGAGCUGCGAGCAAAGAUGUGCCCCGGGACCCCCGGCACCUUCCAGUGGAUUUCCUUGCGGAAAGGAUGUUGGCGGUCCCUGUGACCUGUGGAGACACGGCCAGAUCUGCCCUCCAGCCUGAUCUUUUGGCCAGAAGGAGAUUAAAAAGAUGCCCCUCAAGAUGGCUGUGCCUGUCAGCUGCAUGGAGCUUCGUUCAAGUAUUUUCUGAGCCUGAUGGAUUUACAGUGAUCUUCAGUGGUCUGGGGAAUAACGCUGGUGGAACCAUGCACUGGAAUGACACACGCCCGGCACAUUUCAGGAUACUAAAAGUGGUUUUAAGGGAGGCUGUGGCUGAAUGCCUCAUGGAUUCUUACAGCUUGGAUGUCCAUGGGGGACGAAGGACUGCAGCUGGCUGAGAGGGUUGAGAUCUCUGUUUACUUAGAUCUCUGCCAACUUCCUUUGGGUCUCCCUAUGGAAUGUAAGACCCCGACUCUUCCUGGUGAAGCAUCUGAUGCACGUUCCAUCCGGCGCUCAGCUGGGCUUGAGCUGACCAUACUCCCUGGAGCCUUCUCCCGAGGUGCGCGGGUGACCUUGGCACAUACAGCCAUCAUGAUGGUACUUUAAGUGGAGGCUGAAUCAUCUCCCCUUUGAGCUGCUUGGCACGUGGCUCCCUUGGUGUUCCCCUUUUACUGCCAGGACACUGAGAUUUGGAGAGAAUCCUGUUACACCUGGGAUUUAGGCACUUUCAAUCUGAAAAAAUACAUAUCCUUUCAGCACUCUGGACGGACUUGAGAACUGUCCUUACGUGACCUAAAGCUGGAGUAUUUUGAGAUUGGAGAAUUAAGCUCCUGACCUGUCUAGCUCCUGACCCUCUCAGUGUCAUUCUUGCUCACCCCUGGCCCUGCUCCCUGGAUAUGCAGACAGGAUGGGCUUCUUCCCUUUAGACCUUCACUUUGCUCUUUUGGACUCCUCUUCUGGCCUUGCCUUCCCCUGGUGUCAUCUGCUGGCUCCCUGCCUGAUACUGCCACACUGGUCAUGCUGGCCUCCUGGCCUUUGGUGACACCGCAUCAGCAGGCUCCUGCUUCCCUGUCAAGGGAUACAAGCCAGCACCGGUCUUUCGCCACAAGAGUGUGGGCACCCUGGCUUCAAGCUCACGAGAAACCAGAAGGAAGUCACUGUGCAUAGCCAUCCCCUAAGAAGAGGGCAUUCCUGCUCUUCCUUCUCCAUGGCUAGAGGAUCUACAUGAACUAUUUAGAUUUUUUCUACCUGGGAGAUUUAACUCCUCUCUCCUAUUUAUUUAUUUAUAUAUCAGCAUGGACUUGCAGGCCAACAGAGAUUUUGAGAAACACAUUGAAGGAUCUGUUAACACUUGAUAUACCCAAUAAAAGCAGUGGUUGUGCCAGUGCUGAUCUGUCUUGAUGUGAAUGUGAACAAUGGGAACCUGAGCUGAGCAGUUAAUGCUAGGGUGACAGAAACUGGACCUCUCCCAAGACAUGUGACAGAGUAAUACAGCAGCCAACUUCUUCGCCAAAUUAAAGUUUUACAAGAUUUAACCUGUCAUCAAGACCUGGGAUUUUGGUGAGCCAGUCUUGGUGCUCUGUGUUCACCUGGUUCAUCUGAGGAGCUGCAUCUACCCUGCCCAUGCCAUAGAUCCUGCCCUGUUUGCUUCUCCUGUUGCUGCUAGUGGACAUGAGGUAACCACAGCCUAGUUCUGUGAUAAGCUCUUCACACCUGUACCCAUAUGGACUGUGGGAGAGUUUCUCUGAUAUGGACUGUGAUGCGGAAGGACAGAAUAACGGGCUCCCAGAUUCACAAGCCCCACCAAGAGGAUCACCCCAGGAACGCUUGGAGGCUGAGGAGUUCACUGAGGCUACUGCAUCUUGAGACUCAGGAUGAAGACCCAGCUUGGGGCUGUCAAAGGUUUUUUGCAUGUCUGACACCCAUGACUCCACCUGGACCUUAUGGCUCCACCCAGAAGCAAUUCAGCCCAACAGGAGGACAGCUUCAACCCAUUACGAUUUCAUCUCUGCCCCAACCACUCAGCAGCAAGCACCUGUUACCUGUCCACCCCCACCCCUUCCCCCAAACUGCCUUUGAAAAAUCCCUAACCUAUGAGCUUUGAAUAAGAUGAGUACGAACUUCAUCGCCCACGUGGCGUGGCCGGCCUCGUGUCUAUUAAAUUCUUUUUCUACUACAA
This 2272-nucleotide long non-coding RNA is filed under the name Homo sapiens (human). RNAcentral describes it as "Pvt1 oncogene, transcript variant 12 (PVT1)". The stretch from base 34 to 211 matches the Rfam family "Pvt1 oncogene conserved region 1". The record is from RNAcentral. Lineage: Eukaryota; Metazoa; Chordata; Mammalia; Primates; Hominidae.